Molecule: RNA transcript, 1017 nt
Organism: Leopardus geoffroyi (Geoffroy's cat)
Lineage: Eukaryota; Metazoa; Chordata; Mammalia; Carnivora; Felidae
Gene: SMPX
Gene name: small muscle protein X-linked
Exons: 6
Source: RefSeq, a predicted model, not a curated record
AACCGAGUUUCCCUCUAGCCCCGAGCGGGGAGCAGCUCUCAGUACUGAGUGAGGCACCAAACACUUGAGCUAUUUCAGCCACAUGCAAAGCAUCGGAAUUGAGAUCACAGCUCAGAGGACACCAGGCGUCCCUUCCACCUUCUGAGGAGCCUUGUAUUCUUGCAUCUGGCUGCUUGGGACUUUCCUUAGGCAGUAAACAAAUACAUAAAGCAGGGAUAAGACCCCGUGAAUAUGUCGAAACAGCCGGUUUCCAAUGUCAGAGCCAUCCAGGCAAAUAUCAACAUCCCCAUGGGAGCCUUUCGGCCGGGAGCUGGGCAACCCCCCAGAAGAAAAGAGUGUACUCCAGAAACGGAGGAGGGUGCUCCUCCCACCUCAGAUGAGGAGAAGAAGCCAAUUCCAGGAGUGAAGAAAUUUCCAGGACCUGCGGUCAACCUAUCAGAGAUCCAGAAUAUUAAAAGUGAACUGAAGUAUGUCCCCAAAGCUGAGCAGUAGUUGAAAGAAGAUUCUGUUAACUUUAUGUCAAGAAAUUGGUUUACCAUUUGGAUGUUCCAGAACCUGUGACUGCUACAGACAGUUGCCAGAUACUUCUAAUAGGAUGCUGGAUAUUUCUGAUGUUUGAUGUGAAGAAUUGAAGAGAAAGAGAAUGGAUUCAAAUGAAAAUAGCUCAUGAAAAGAUUUUAUAUAUUUGUAUGAAGAUUAUGAACCUCCUGAAUGCCUGAGGCUCUAGCAGAAAUGUCUUCUUUGUACAUUUAUAUCUCUUCCUUCUAGUUGGCUGCACUUCUUACUUUAUCUUCAUGUUUGGCACCUUGCAGAACAAAUCAGCUCAAGAAUUCACAACUGGAUGGUGUGGUUUUGAGGAAGAGCAGGAUUUACUGAGAGGGAUAGGGCAAUAUGAAUAACAAUGAUUUCCAUUGGAAGUUCUCUAAACUACUUCACACACUAUUUUGGUCAGUUUGGGGAAUGUAUUUUAGUUCUUCACGUCCUCAAUUAUAUCAAUAAACUUUUUAUGAGUUCAAA